Molecule: non-coding RNA, 82 nt
Organism: Acanthosepion pharaonis
Lineage: Eukaryota; Metazoa; Mollusca; Cephalopoda; Sepiida; Sepiidae
Source: the annotation of a GenBank genome assembly
CCGUACGAUCACCGAAGUUAAGCAACGUCGAGCUUGGUCAGUACUUAGAUGGGUAGCCGCUUGGGAAUACCAACUGAUGUAA